UACAGAGGGUGCAAACGUUGUUCGGAAUUACUGGGCGUAAAGCGCGUGCAGGCGGCCUUGCAAGUCGGACGUGAAAUCCCACGGCUCAACCGUGGAAGUGCAUUCGAAACUGCGAGGCUGGAGUCCUGGAGAGGAAAGUGGAAUACUCGGUGUAGAGGUGAAAUUCGUAGAUAUCGGGAGGAACAUCAGUGGCGAAGGCGGCUACCUGGCCCAAUACUGACACUCAGGUGCGACAGCGUGGGGAGCAAACAGG
Molecule: ribosomal RNA, 253 nt
Filed under: uncultured bacterium
Lineage: Bacteria
Description: partial 16S ribosomal RNA
Rfam family: Bacterial small subunit ribosomal RNA
Source: RNAcentral